This 76-nucleotide transfer RNA is filed under the name archaeon. RNAcentral's name for it is "tRNA-Met". It matches the Rfam family "tRNA". Rfam says of the family: Transfer RNA (tRNA) molecules are approximately 80 nucleotides in length. Their secondary structure includes four short double-helical elements and three loops (D, anti-codon, and T loops). RNAcentral also lists the same sequence under 1 other name. The record is from RNAcentral.
AGCGGGGUGGAGCAGUCUGGUCAGCUCGCGAGGCCCAUAACCUCGAGGUCACAUGGUUCAAAUCCUGUCCCCGCUA